UUUUAUUGGAGAGUUUGAUCCUGGCUCAGGACGAACGCUGGCGGCGUGCCUAAUACAUGCAAGUCGAGCGGACUGAUGGGAGCUUGCUCCCUGAUGUUAGCGGCGGACGGGUGAGUAACACGUGGGCAACCUGCCUGUAAGACUGGGAUAACUCCGGGAAACCGGGGCUAAUACCGGAUAAUUCAUUCCCUCUCAUGAGGGAAUGCUGAAAGACGGUUUCGGCUGUCACUUACAGAUGG
This 239-nucleotide ribosomal RNA is filed under the name Mesobacillus persicus. Its description in RNAcentral is "Bacillus persicus 16S rRNA. Bacterial SSU". It matches the Rfam family "Bacterial small subunit ribosomal RNA", at positions 1 to 228 of the family's 1533-position model. Lineage: Bacteria; Bacillati; Bacillota; Bacilli; Caryophanales; Bacillaceae. The record is from RNAcentral.